ACAAGCGGAGGAGCAUGUGGUUUAAUUCGAUGAUACGCGAGGAACCUACCUGGGCUCGAACGUAAGAUGACUGUAGGUGAAAGCUUACAUCUCUUCGGAGCAUUUUACGAGGUGCUGCAUGGUUGUCGUCAGCUCGUGCCGUGAGGUGUCGGGUUAAGUCCCAUAACGAGCGCAACCCCUACCUUUAGUUGCCAUCAGGUUAAGCUGGGGACUCUAAAGGAACUGCCUACGCAAGUAGUGAGGAAGGCGGGGAUGACGUCAAAUCAGCACGGCCCUUACGUCCAGGGCUACACACGUGCUACAAUGGCCGAUACAGAGGGCAGCUACCUGGUGACAGGAUGCAAAUCUCCAAAGUCGGUCUCAGUUCGGAUCGGAGUCUGCAACCCGACUCCGUGAAGUUGGAUUCGCUAGUAAUCGCGCAUCAGCCAUGGCGCGGUGAAUACGUUCCCGGGCCUU
RNAcentral lists this ribosomal RNA (456 nucleotides) under uncultured Sphingobacteriales bacterium. RNAcentral's name for it is "bacterial SSU rRNA". It matches the Rfam family "Bacterial small subunit ribosomal RNA", at positions 925 to 1382 of the family's 1533-position model. The record is from RNAcentral. Lineage: Bacteria; Pseudomonadati; Bacteroidota; Sphingobacteriia; Sphingobacteriales.